This is a long non-coding RNA of Anopheles arabiensis, 2739 nucleotides long. RefSeq lists it as uncharacterized. The record is from RefSeq and is a predicted model, not a curated record. The transcript is spliced from 3 exons. NCBI's taxonomy places the organism in Eukaryota, Metazoa, Arthropoda, Insecta, Diptera, Culicidae.
AAUGCAUUUAUUAUUCCUUCGUCCGUGCUAUGGUUGGGAGGAAGGUAGGCAGCAGCAAUGAAUAAUCGGUACGUCGGGAGCUGAAUGCAGAUGCAAGCGAAUUCAAGUGUUUGCGCAAGCACUGGAAGCGCAUGAGAGCGGAGAGCGGAACUCACCGCAAUUAGUACUCCACCGCCUCGAGAUAGAGAGCUGUUUGCGGCAUUUCUAUCGCAACGAUAGACACAGUGCGCAUCGCCAAAUAGGAGAGCUGUGGGAAGGCUGGGAUCGAGCCAAGUCUCAGUGAGUACCACAACAUCAUAGUCCGCUUCUAACACAGUUAAACGGAACUCAUCAGCUUUGGAUCGUAAACCUCGCACAUUCUGAUAGUAUACAGUUAUAGACGUGGAACGGACAUUGAGUGGUAUGCGUGUGUAAGUUGGUGCAAGGUCAUCGGUGAGAGAUCGUGUCGUUGACGUGUUGUUGUUUCGUGUAAACAAAUGACUAGUCAGAUUCAGUGGCACAGUGCCUUUUGAGGAAACAGUUGUGUGAUUAUUACUUAAGAAAAAAGUGUUGAAUAGUAGUUUGGUGCAUUUUAACGGUGUUUGGUGUGGCUGUAGUUGUUUUUGGUGGAACAGGCGAUAUUAAGGUACAAUUCAUAUCGGGUGAUAAUUGUACAGGGUGCAUCGGGCUAUGUCGAACAGGUAUAGGUGUGUUUGUGUUGGUGAGAUCAGGACGAUGGUGAGACGGCCUUUGCGGGAGUGAGAUAAACUCACGCACACCGAGCCCGACCGGCCAAGAUCCUGCGCAAACUAAAAGCGAUGACGUCCGUGGUGUCCAACUGUGAUUUUACCAUCGACACUACCUGGUCAACGGUGACGGUUUUGGCUAACCUAGAUAGAUGUAGCCACAUAUAGUUUGUUCUUGGUAGUUGUGACACGGUUGGGAUCGACGUGGUGGUGGUAUCGGUUCCUGUUAUUAUUGGUGGUAGUGAAGGGCGAUUUCUUUGGUGAGUAUUGUCGGUGUCUGUAUUUACAGGGUAUAGUGGAGCAUUGUCAACAACAAUGGCUUCCGUGGAUGCAACAACGUCACGGAACAACCUUCUACGCUUUCCACUCGGGAGGGCAUCUGGGGGCGGUACGUUGAAGUGUUCGCUAGGAGCUUGGUGAGCCGCGGCAAAACUGGCAAAGCCCUCACGGAUUUCGUGCAUCACAGGCGGGACUAAAGCAGCUUUCAUCACCUCGACAGCGGCAGUAAGAGCCGCCUGAAAGCCGACCUGCAUACCCGUUGUUUUGACUGCUUUACUAUGUGGGUUGCCAAGAGCAUUCGAACACCCUACACAGCUCCAAUGAAGAGAUGCCGUCCGUUUUACCUCUUCGAUCACAGUGAAAGUUGCCGUUGCAGAUAGAUGCCACAGGACUCAGGAACAAACGCAGGAAAUACAGCAAAGUCAGGAAUGUUUGUGACGAACAAUUGAAGGCAGGACUACCAGAGACAGCUUAAGUCACAGCUAAGCGGCAGUUUGACGAAAAUAAGGCCGAAACGACAAAAUAAUUCACGGAUUUACGCGGAGCACAGUGAGAAACACACUCUGUCGUCAGCUGUCAACAGUACAGUCGUCGCAUGGCCAAGUUGAAGGAGAGAAAGCGAGCUCGCCAAACUCCGAUGGAAUGCCGAUCUUAAAGGACACAUACUUUAGUGAGCUUGUAACGCGACCUCUUGGUAUGACACACUUCACCGAACAGUCAGUGCAUUUUAACCUUCCUAGUAUGAACAUUUUCAUGUUCUCCUCAGUUACAGUGGGUGCAAUCCUAGUUACAAACAUCCAAACUUUUGGCUCAGGUGCAGGAAUGAAUUGUAUGGUGUCUGUGUUGAUGUGAUCAUUGGCAGUGCCGGUGUGAAGAAUGGCUUGUGUUGGAUUUAUGUGUUCAUUAUCAGAGAGCAUACGCGAUUGAGAGUGUGGUAGUGAGUUCUGUUUGACGGGAGUUGGUGUUGGUGACAAAGGAGUAUCGGUGGAUGUGUGGAAUGUUUUAUCGGUGAGAGAGAUGGUACUCACAGUCGGAGCGAUUUUCUCACGCUCUUGCGGCAUCACUCUAUUUGGAUUCAGCUGAGAUAUCCUUUGAUCAAGCUCAUUCCGUAUUGCAUUUUUCAACUCAUCUUUCAGUGUAUUCAUCAAGCACGAAAUUGAUGAGAAAAAAUCUGAUCUCGAGUCACGGCAUUUCUCGCACAUCCAGCAGAGACCACGAUUGCGUGCCACCUCCUGAACACAAGUGGUGGCAAGUUUAAUGCCUUCCGGAUGAAAGGCAGAAUUGCACUCCGAAAAAGGAAGAUUGCCAAUACAAACAACCGAAUCUUUGUUGAUAGUAGUAGAGCAGAUUGCACAGUCCAUUAUGAGAGAGAGUAUCGAUCACUUAGGUGAGCAGUGAGAGUGAACGGAGAGGACACUGAUUGAUGAGCUGGUGCGAAUUACUCUCUGAGUGUAUUAAGCAGGGUCAAUAACACUGAACCGCAGUCGCCGAUGAAACAGAAAUCACGUAGAAAUACAAUUCAGGUACGCGUUCUCGUAGAAAUUCUCGUACGAUGCAGGAACAAAAUGCUUCAACACAGCAACACAGCAAACACAGGCGACAGGAACAGCUUCACAAACUCAAAAACGAACGAUUUCAAACCAAAAUCACAUCAAAAACAGACAGUACACAGGAGCAACGCAGAAACAAGUCCAAACGCUUCAUUGGCCAACAGUGUAAACUAUGUGCGUUAAUU